This 253-nucleotide ribosomal RNA is filed under the name uncultured bacterium. RNAcentral describes it as "partial 16S ribosomal RNA". It matches the Rfam family "Bacterial small subunit ribosomal RNA", at positions 524 to 776 of the family's 1533-position model. The record is from RNAcentral.
UACGGAGGGUGCAAGCGUUAUCCGGAUUUAUUGGGUUUAAAGGGUGCGCAGGCGGGAGAUUAAGUCGGCGGUGAAAUUUUGCAGCUCAACUGUAAAAGUGCCUUCGAUACUGGUUUCCUUGAGUGUGGAUGAAGUAGGCGGAAUUUGUGGUGUAGCGGUGAAAUGCUUAGAUAUCACGAGGAACUCCGAUUGCGCAGGCAGCUUACUAAACCACUACUGACGCUCAGGCACGAAGGCGUGGGGAUCAAACAGG